This 246-nucleotide ribosomal RNA is filed under the name uncultured bacterium. RNAcentral's name for it is "partial 16S ribosomal RNA". It matches the Rfam family "Bacterial small subunit ribosomal RNA", at positions 333 to 571 of the family's 1533-position model. The record is from RNAcentral.
UCCUUCCUACGGGACGCAGCAGUAGGGAAUCUUCCACAAUGGACGAAAGUCUGAUGGAGCAACGCCGCGUGAGUGAAGAAGGGUUUCGGCUCGGAAAGCUCUGUUGGUAGUGAAGAAAGAUAGAGGUAGUAACUGGCCUUUAUUUGACGGUAAUUACUUAGAAAGUCACGGCUAACUACGUGCCAGCAGCCGCGGUAAUACGUAGGUGGCAAGUGUUAUCCGGAUUUACUUGGUGUAAAGGGGGCG